RNAcentral lists this long non-coding RNA (601 nucleotides) under Gallus gallus (chicken). RNAcentral describes it as "long non-coding RNA NONGGAT003427". The record is from RNAcentral. Lineage: Eukaryota; Metazoa; Chordata; Aves; Galliformes; Phasianidae.
UUAGUAAAGCAGAAGUUUGAUUCCGGAUGAAAGCAGAUAAGAUAAUCCAUCAGUUAUGUUUCUGUGUGCUGGGGAUCACUGCAAGACAUUCCAGAUCCCUUAACUGGCCAGCAGUUUCACAGCAGCAGUGAAGUCUGACAGAUAAGAGUAAUGCUGAUCAACCACCAGCCCCAGGGAGCACUUUCACCUGUUCACGGAGUUCAAAGAUACAGCUGAUAGAGUCAGUAUCGUGGCUUGCAUACAUUAGAAAAGAAAUCAGAUACAGGUUUAAAGGAUACAAAGGAACAUCAAAACUGCUCUGCUUCCUUACGAUCUUCCUCGAUGUAAAAAGAUGUCAGGAGGAAAAAAACUCCUCCAAAGACACCAACAAAAACACAGAUGAUGAAGCUGUACUGCAGGCUGCAGAAACUCCAGUGGAAUGACUGAUCUUUCUUGGCUUGAAUAGCAUUGGAGAUCUAGGGAGUGAAAAAUGCUGUCAUCAAUCUGAGAUAAAACCAUACUUCUCUCAUGAUUUAAGCAGACUCUUCGCAUUGUGGUCCUUGAAAAGAAUAAAGCUGAGCAGCUCAUCUCCAGAUAGCCUGCAAAGGACAGAUGUUUGGCA